RNAcentral lists this ribosomal RNA (706 nucleotides) under uncultured Ascomycota. RNAcentral describes it as "SSU rRNA". It matches the Rfam family "Eukaryotic small subunit ribosomal RNA", at positions 402 to 1114 of the family's 1831-position model. Lineage: Eukaryota; Fungi; Ascomycota. The record is from RNAcentral.
AACGGCUACCACAUCCAAGGAAGGCACAGGCGCGCAAAUUACCCAAUCCCGACACGGGGAGGUAGUGACAAUAAAUACUGAUACAGGGCUCUUUUGGGUCUUGUAAUGGAAUGAGUACAAUUUAAAUCCCUUAACGAGGAACAAUUGGAGGGCAAGUCUGGUGCCAGCAGCCGCGGUAAUUCCAGCUCCAAUAGCGUAUAUUAAAGUUGUUGCAGUUAAAAAGCUCGUAGUUGAACCUUGGGCCUGGCUGGCCGGUCCGCCUCACCGCGUGCACUGGUCCGGCCGGGUCUUUCCUUCUGGGGAGCCGCAUGCCCUUCACUGGGUGUGUCGGGGAACCAGGACUUUUACUUUGAAAAAAUUAGAGUGUUCAAAGCAGGCCUAUGCUCGAAUACAUUAGCAUGGAAUAAUAGAAUAGGACGUGUGGUUCUAUUUUGUUGGUUUCUAGGACCGCCGUAAUGAUUAAUAGGGAUAGUCGGGGGCAUCAGUAUUCAAUUGUCAGAGGUGAAAUUCUUGGAUUUAUUGAAGACUAACUACUGCGAAAGCAUUUGCCAAGGAUGUUUUCAUUAAUCAGUGAACGAAAGUUAGGGGAUCGAAGACGAUCAGAUACCGUCGUAGUCUUAACCAUAAACUAUGCCGACUAGGGAUCGGGCGAUGUUAUCUUAUUGACUCGCUCGGCACCUUACGAGAAAUCAAAGUCUUUGGGUUC